UCGACUACUGUUGAGUCAUCAUCAGGAAUUAUGAAAGCUUUCAUAAUUCCUGAUGAUGACUCAACAGUAGUCGA
Paramuricea clavata is the source of this 74-nucleotide non-coding RNA. Lineage: Eukaryota; Metazoa; Cnidaria; Anthozoa; Malacalcyonacea; Plexauridae. The record is from the annotation of a GenBank genome assembly.